CAGAAAUGAAGUAAAGGCAUUUGGAAGGAGGAGUGAAGCAGAAUUGUUCCAAUCAUUGGGGAUUCAGCAGUGAACAAAACAGACACAAUUCCUUGGUUUCAAGAUACCUGCAUUCUGAUAAAACGUGUGAGACGAUAAUAACCAAGGUUGUGUCACACCUUUUCCUGAACUUUGGCUCAAUUGAAGAAGGAAACUUUCAGGGGAAUUCCAAUAGUAAACAACAGAACCAGCAGUUUUACAAUAAACUGCAGAGCUCCAUUUCAAAACACAAAAAUAGAGCGUCUCUGCAGUGAUGUACUGCCUUAAGGAAGGAUUCCACCUUUGAAGGAGUCUUACAAAACCAUUGCCUUUAUCUACAUUUAGCAGGUAAAUGCAAUGAUUAAAUAUGAAGAAGAGCAUUGACAAGAUGAAAUGGGCUCAUUCUCAGCAAUGUUAUUUCAAAAAGAAAACCUGAGUGAUUCACGUAUUCAUAUGUCCAUCUGAAAAUGUCCUUCUCUCAACAAACUACUCAGUGAAAACUCAUCUUCAUAUAGUUAAUGCUGGAGUGCUAAUAAACUGUUGCAAAUUUCAAAAAUAGUGUCAUAACUUCCUAUACAGAGUCUAAAGAAAGUGGAGGUGUGAUGUAGUCUAGGGUUAUCAAUAGGGCAGCAUGACUUGAUGGGGCUUAAGACUUCUACACACAGCCAGCAAGCAUUUAAUGAGCAUCCCUGAGGGGCUUAAUGUUCCAUACUAUUACUCAAGGACUUUUUCUUAUUUGCCAAGAUUACUUGGUAAAUCUACAAAGCCAAGUGGCCUAUGGCCAGAGUUCAAAUAGUUUCUUGUCAAUUCUUCCCUCCCUUUCACAGUUGCAAGGCAUGGAAAAGAGGAAAUGGGAUGAGAUGGGAUGGCUUUCGUCCUGGCCUGCUUCAAGCACUGUUUCACCAUAAAAAAGGAACUCUCCACUGCUCCUCUUAAACAGAUAAAAUAUUUUGUGCUUAGAAUUCAAUGACUCAUCCCACUUGGACAUAACUACAUUCUUUCUAGGGCGGAAAUCUCGCAUUCAAGUGCAGCUGGCCAAGUUGAAGAAAGAACUUCAAGGCAGUUCUGGGAAAGAACUUUAAGCCUUAGCCCUGAUUAUGAGAAAGAAGUUUUGCUCUUUGCAAAGGAUUAGGAGCAUAACUGUGCUAGUGAAUAACAAUCUCGGACUUAGCCAAAGAAUGCUUGGGUGGGAUUUUGAUUAUCAUUAUGGUAUUUUUUAAAAUGUAAGCAUCUAAGUCUUCAAAUUCUUUGAUAAAUUUAAUUUUAAUACUUAAUUUUGGGCAAUCAAAGCACAAAGAAGUAGAAACUGGAGUGAAAAUGGGUGGGUUACCAGAUACUUACAAUAAUAAAAGUGUCAUUUUGCCAACUUAUUUUGUAGCUAAAAUUACAAUUUUCAAUGCUAUAUGUAGUUGAAGAUAGCCAUCAUCUGCGAGUGCUUAUUAUAUGCCAGGAACUAAGCUAAGCUCUUAACCUGCAAAAUUUCAUUCAAUCCUUGCAUAGACACUAUGUGAUAGAUGGACUACAAUUGCCACAUUGAAUCAACAUUUGCCUGAGAGACCAAUGGGCAUUUAUUGAACACUAUUUAGGGAUUAAUGUGAAGCGGUGGCAAAGAAGGAAAGGUAUAGCAUUUAGAGGAACACAGUAUUUCAUAGAAUCUUAGUGAGGGAAGGGAUGUUGAAGGACUAAGGCUGAUGCCAACUCCGUUGGGCAAGUAAUCAUCGCUUCUAGCUUUUAUAAAUUAUUAAAAUAUAUUUUGAUUUCAGUUUUUCUGAUCUGUUUAUAUUGUCUCUUAAGUCCUUUAGAAUCACUUCACACUAUGCUCUCAUCCAGGUGAAAAGGAACUCAGAAAGAAUGUAAUUAGCCUCAUUUUCUAGCCUAAAACCUUGUGCAGUGGACCUAGAGGCUCCCAAACACGUGCUAAGGUGUAAGGGCCCAUGGGCUGCAUAUCAGUAGGUAACCAAGGCAUUCUUUUGUGUAUGUGUUGCCCAAAUCCCUUAAGAGCACCUAUACAUCUUGACAAUUUUCAGUACAAAUCCUUUUCAAGUGAAAAAUAAACAAGUAUUUAAUACUUAAAAAUCUUUCUUUCUGUUUCAGACAGAAUUCCAGCUGUCUGCUUCUUCCGUCCCUCCAACAAAAACAAAACAAGGGACUUGCAUCCAUUUACAGUCUACAUAGUUUAAUCUUCGUGCUAUCUUAUAGGAGGAGUUCCUCUUGCUGUAUUUCUGAUAUUGGCAACCUCUUCCAUUGUCUGCAUACUCUCUGGUAUCCCUUAAUGCUAUGCCAUAGUCAUUGCAACUCUGUUAGUUCAAACCUAUAUUAGUUAUUUUUUAAAUUGCUGUUGCUUACUAAUUUUAGGUUCAUUUUCAGUCCUACCCUUUCCCUACCAAUCUACCAUUGCUGCCGCCAUUACCUUUACAAAACACACCACAAGUCUUAUCUGCAUUAAACCUGCUUAAAACUGGUGAUAAGCCCUCACUGUUCCUUAAGGCCUGCAGGAUAAAAUACCAACUCCUCAGUGCUGGGGUUUGGAGCAGAGCUUAAUUACUCACUUUUCUUCUUUUGCACAUUGUGGAUCAAUUCUGAAUUGGACACAUAAGUCAGAUGGGAAUGAAAAUGCAGUGCCUGAUUCACUGCUGAGAAUGCAGCACUGGGGCUGGGGCCAGAGGCAGGCUAAAAUGAGGCCAUGGCAAUCUUCCCCGUGAAUUUACCUAAGUUCAGGAAGAGCUGCUGGGGAGCAGUAUCCCAUUUUCUUUUGGUGCAGGCUUUGGGGUCUGGAGAUUACUUUAGAAGUUGAACAAUCUAUGACAAGCCUGUUUGCAGGGUUUGAGGAGUCUCUAGAAAUAACCUUUAGAAUCUCAGAGGGAGGCCAGACUAUUCGAUAUUUAGAAAUUCAACAGGCUAGUCAAUUAGAACAGGGAUCUACUAUGGCAUGUUCCUUAAAUCCAACCUGGUUUUGGAGUUUCUGUCUCUGAAUAAUGUCUUUACCUUCUUGCCCCUUGGUCCCUGCACUUAGAACCAUGGGCUGGCGUAAUGAGGGGGGCUGUCUCUUUAAAAUGAGCUUGUCUUUUAAGGCGGGGAGUACAUAGCCAGAAGUUUUUGGUAAGGGCCUAGGAAAUUAGGUUUCCCCCAGUGUUCCUGCUUUUCCUGCAAUUCAGUAUUAUCUCCUUUCAAAACAGAAAACUCAUACUUUGUGUCUUCUCAAGGAUUGCUGGAGGAAGAAAUGAUCUCUUUGGUGAGGCUACAUAGGCCCUUCCCUCUGUUGUAGAGGGACAGCUUGGUCUGAAGCUUCUAGGAUAAUAAAGGCUGCAAAAUAUGGUCGGCCCAUUUUAACUUUGUCACAACAUAUCUGGAGAGACACAGAAGUGAAUUUGUUGAGUCCCAGGAACAGCAAGGAAAAACCUUCCCUGCUGCUUUGCUACCACUUAAGAGGCACCACUAACAUCCCAGGUAAAGAGGGGCAGUGUUGACCGCCCAGGGUCCCACCUGUUGUCUGUCUUUCCUUUCAUUUUAAUGCCUGUCAAUUCCAACACCCCACUUCCAGGUACCCAUCUCUGCAUUUGGCAGGAUUGUUUUGGGUGCAAAUGAGAGAAACCCAGCUCAAGCUAGAUUAUGGCUGGAAAUACGGAAGUCUAAGGGGUAUCUCUGGCAUCAGGCUUGGCUGCAUCUAGGGGUUUAAACUGCAUUAUGAAGCCUUUCUCUCUCCAUAUCUUGGCUCUUCCCUCUGGUGGUCUUUAGCUUCAGAAAGUCUCUAUUUUUAUAACUCUUUCUGGUACUAGAGAAAGAAAGACCCUUCUUUUCCCAGAAACUUUAUAUCAAAUAUGAUGAAGAAGGUCUGAUUGGUGCUCAGUUUGGGGCUAAUCUCCCUGAUCAAUUGCAGUGGCCAGAGGGAUGAGCUCUUCUGAACAGCCAGGUCUGGGUCAUAUGUCUUGUGCCUAUCUACCUCUGGGAACCAGAGGCAAAGGUAGAAGGAGGUUGGGCUUUUCUGAAGGAAGACAGUGGAACAGACAAGAAACAUAUGUUCACUAUACAGACUCUAUCACACUGUACUGUAAUUAUGUGUUUAUGUGCCUGAUUUAGUUUCCACAUCAGACUCAGAGCUGCUACAUGGUGAAGAUCACAAUUUGUCAGUCUCAGAAAGUCAGAUGGACACGGCUAAGUCUGGAUUUCGCUCCCUUCAUAAAGGAAAAAAAGAGAAUUUCCCAAGCACUGCAGCCAUGUGGCCAUGUGGCAUCUCCCCUAACCACCAGAGCCAGCCGGGUCAACACCCUUUUCGUCACACUGAGAAAGGAUGCUGGCAC
This 4316-nucleotide long non-coding RNA is filed under the name Homo sapiens (human). Its description in RNAcentral is "HSALNT0374134". Lineage: Eukaryota; Metazoa; Chordata; Mammalia; Primates; Hominidae. The record is from RNAcentral.